AUUUUAAUAGCUUAUAAAGAGUAUAAUAUUGAAGAUAUUAUGGAAACAUUUUGUUUUAAAAUA
Molecule: transfer RNA, 63 nt
Filed under: Kolla paulula
Lineage: Eukaryota; Metazoa; Arthropoda; Insecta; Hemiptera; Cicadellidae
Description: tRNA-Phe
Source: RNAcentral